AAAUUAUAGACAGCCAGUGUGUGACUGGCUUUCUUGAAGGAUUUGUAUUUACCAAUAUCUCAGUAGGACACUUCCUUCAGACCCUUGUAAUAUAGACAGCCAGUGUGUGAUGGUGGUGUCUUGCAGGAUUUGUUUUUACCCAUAUCUCAGUAGGACUUUAUCUUCAGACACUUGUAAUUAUAGACAGCCAGUGUGUGAUGGAGGUGUCUUGCAGGAUUUGUAUUUUCCAAUAUCUCAGUAGGACUCUUCUUUCAGACUCUUGUAAUUAUAGACAGACAGUUUCUUCACCAACUUGCAUGAAGACUUAGAGGCAGCUAGUACAUGGUAGUGUUAUCUUGCAGUAAUCAUAUCUACCCAUAUCUCAGUAAAAAUCUUCCUUCACACACUUGUAUUUAGAAGCAGCUAGUACAUGAUGAUGGUGCCUUGCAGUUAUCGUAUCUACCCAUAUCACAGUAAAAAUCUUCCUUCACACACUUGUGAUUAUAGACAGCUAGUAUGUGAUGAAUGUUUCUUGCAGUAAUUGUAACUACCAAUAUCUCAGUACGAAUCUGCCUUCAGACUCUUGUAAUUAUAGACAGCCAGUUUCUUCACACACUUGCAUGUAGAGGCAGCUAGUACAUGAUGGUGUGAUCUUGCAGUUUUCCUAUCUACCCAUAUCUCAGAAAAAAAUCUUCCUUCACACACUUUCAUGUAGAGGCAGCUAUAACAAGAUGGUGUUAUCUUGGAGUCAUCGUAUCUACCCAUAUCUAAGUAAAAACCUUCCUUCACACACUGUCAUGAAGAAGUAGCUAGUACAUGGCGGUGUUAUCUUGCAGUAAUCGUGUCUACCCAUAUCUCAGUAAAAAUCUUUCUUCACACACUUGCAUGUACAGGCAGCUAGUACAUGAUGGUGUUAUCUUGCAGUUUUUCUAUCUACCCAUAUCUCUGUAAAACUCUUCCUUCACACACUCGCAUGUACAGGCAACUAGUACAUGAUGGUGUUAUCUUGCAGUUUUCGUAUCUACCCACUCUGUAAAACUCUUCCUUCACACACUUGCAUGUACAGGCAGUUAGUACAUGAUGGUGUUAUCUUGCAGUUUUCCUAUCUACCCAUAUUUCAGUAAAAAUCUUCCUUCACACACUUGCAUGUACAGGCAGCUAGUACAUAAUGGUGUUUUCUUGCAGUUAUCGUAUCUACCAAUGUCUCUGUAAAACUCUUCCUUCACACACUUGCAUGUACAGGCAGCUAGUACAUGAUGGUGUUAUCUUGCAGUUUU
Molecule: long non-coding RNA, 1256 nt
Filed under: Mytilus galloprovincialis (Mediterranean mussel)
Lineage: Eukaryota; Metazoa; Mollusca; Bivalvia; Mytilida; Mytilidae
Source: RNAcentral